This is a long non-coding RNA of Patiria miniata (bat star), 328 nucleotides long. RefSeq lists it as uncharacterized. The record is from RefSeq and is a predicted model, not a curated record. NCBI's taxonomy places the organism in Eukaryota, Metazoa, Echinodermata, Asteroidea, Valvatida, Asterinidae. The transcript has 2 exons.
CGUGCGGAGGGACUGUCCCUCAAUGAGAAAUCAUUUUGCGGAGAGCUCGAGUGGGCAAUCGAUGAGAAAUUCGGACACAUACAUGUAGGAGAAUGCUGUACGCUAAUGUCACUGUCAGGAACUCAGGAAUGAUAACCCUGCUUCCUAUAAUUUCGGGGGACUUAAGUUCCAGGAAUACCGAAUGUACACCACUCCAUGUACAUGCAUUGAGACAUCCUAACAUUUUGGACUGACUGACCCUGGGGGUUUUGUUUUGGGGUUUUCUAUUCCUACCUCUAUGAUUGACCAAGCAUCCGAUUGGAAAUAAACCGUAGUGAUCGAGAAGUGA